UACACCGCUGAAAUUAAGCAUAUCAAUAAGCGGUGGAAAAGAAACUAACCAGGAUUCCCUUAGUAACGGCGAGUGAACAGGGAUUAGCCCAGCACCGAAGUCUGCGUCUGUUUGGGCGUUGGACAAUGUGGUGUUUAGGUUGGUGUUUUCAAAUGUUGCUCUGUUUAAAGUCCAUUCUUGAAUAUGGCUACUAGUUUGGCCCAGAGAGGGUGAAAGGCCCGUGUGGAUAGAGCGAUGUUUGUCUGCAUUAACUAUGGAGUCGGGUUGUUUGAGAAUGCAGCCCAAAGUUGGUGGUAAACUCCAUCUAAGGCUAAAUACUGGCACGAGUCCGAUAGCGAACAAGUACCGUGAGGGAAAGUUGAAAAGUACUCUGAAGAGAGAGUUAACAGUGCGUGAAACCGCUUAGAAGCAAACGGGUGUAGUCAAGCUGCAAGCUGUAAGAAAUAGGUGGGCCAGGAUGGCGUGAGUCUGAGCAUCUUGAGCUGGUGGUUAAGUCCGAUUUUAUGUCGGGUUCAGCCCGCAAGGGUUGGAUUUGCGAAGCGCUAUUUGUUGCUGCAAGCUUGGUCACUGGUUGCUCUGCUGGCCCUCUCACUUUCUUAUAGCGUAUGUCACGACCGUCGUUGCUGUCGGUCUGCUCCAUUUAAACCGUUUCGUGUGUGGUUUUCCGCUACAUGCGUUAUGGGGGCUGUCGGCUGGUUCGGCUUCUGUCGGAUCAGUUCAAUUGCUGAGUGGAGUGGUACCUUUAACUGUGCAGUGCGGCGGGGCUGGCGGUGCAUUGUUGUUGGGCGUGCUUGUGUGUCGGCGUAGUUGGCGUAUGACUACUGGUUGCUAUUAUUAAUGGCCCUGUGGUUGCCCGGCUGCGGUUUGACAUGCGGUUGCGUCUGAUCAAUCUUUGCGUUGUGCCUAUAGUAUGGGCCAGUUUAAACCCCCA
This 931-nucleotide ribosomal RNA is filed under the name Heterapta chorinemi. RNAcentral's name for it is "eukaryotic LSU rRNA". It matches the Rfam family "Eukaryotic large subunit ribosomal RNA", at positions 22 to 629 of the family's 3401-position model. The record is from RNAcentral. Lineage: Eukaryota; Metazoa; Platyhelminthes; Monogenea; Mazocraeidea; Heteromicrocotylidae.